AGAAGAGGAAGAAGAAGAU
This 19-nucleotide small RNA is filed under the name Arabidopsis thaliana (thale cress). Its description in RNAcentral is "ATSL134550". Lineage: Eukaryota; Viridiplantae; Streptophyta; Magnoliopsida; Brassicales; Brassicaceae. The record is from RNAcentral.